AUGAAGUUGGAAUCGCUAGUAAUCGCGGAUCAGCAUGCCGCGGUGAAUACGUUCCCGGGCCUUGUACACACCGCCCGUCCACACCAUGAGAGUCGAUAACACCCGAAGCCUGUGAGCUAACCUUUUAGGAGGCAGCAGUCGAAGGUGGGGUUGAUGAUUGGGGUGAAGUCGUAACAAGGUAGC
RNAcentral lists this ribosomal RNA (183 nucleotides) under uncultured bacterium. RNAcentral's name for it is "partial 16S ribosomal RNA". It matches the Rfam family "Bacterial small subunit ribosomal RNA", at positions 1320 to 1500 of the family's 1533-position model. The record is from RNAcentral.